UACGGAGGGAGCUAGCGUUGUUCGGAAUUACUGGGCGCAAAGCGCACGUAGGCGGCUUUGUAAGUUAGAGGUGAUAGCCUGGAGCUCAACUCCAGAAUUGCCUUUAAGACUGCAUCGCUUGAAUUCCAGCGCAGAGGUGAGUGGAAUUCCGAGUGUAGAGGUGAAAUUCGUAG
This 173-nucleotide ribosomal RNA is filed under the name uncultured Sphingomonadales bacterium. RNAcentral describes it as "partial 16S ribosomal RNA". It matches the Rfam family "Bacterial small subunit ribosomal RNA", at positions 524 to 693 of the family's 1533-position model. The record is from RNAcentral. Lineage: Bacteria; Pseudomonadati; Pseudomonadota; Alphaproteobacteria; Sphingomonadales.